RNAcentral lists this ribosomal RNA (808 nucleotides) under uncultured bacterium. RNAcentral describes it as "bacterial SSU rRNA". It matches the Rfam family "Bacterial small subunit ribosomal RNA", at positions 75 to 860 of the family's 1533-position model. The record is from RNAcentral.
GGGGGCAACUCCGUGAGUAAAGCGGCGCACGGGUGAGUAACACGUAGGUAACCUACCUUCGAGACCGGGAUAACCUUCCGAAAGGAGGGCUAAUACCGGAUGAGACCACGGGGUCACGGCCCUGAGGUCAAAGGUGGCCUCUGCUCGCAAGCUACCACUCGAAGAUGGGCCUGCGUACCAUUAGCUAGUUGGUGAGGUAACGGCUCACCAAGGCGAAGAUGGUUAGCUGGUCUGAGAGGAUGAUCAGCCACACUGGGACUGAGACACGGCCCAGACUCCUACGGGAGGCAGCAGUGGGGAAUCUUGGACAAUGGGGGAAACCCUGAUCCAGCGACGCCGCGUGGGUGAUGAAGGCCUUCGGGUCGUAAAGCCCUGUCGGGGGGGAAGAAACUCUCGCCGGUAAACAAUCGGCGGGAUUGACGGUACCCCCUAAGGAAGCACCGGCUAACUCCGUGCCAGCAGCCGCCGUAAGACGGAGGGUGCAAGCGUUGUUCGGAAUUACUGGGCGUAAAGGGCGCGUAGGCGGUCCGCUAAGUUCGGUGUGAAAUCCCCCGGCUCACCUGGGGAAUUGCGUCGGAAACUGACGGACUAGAGUACCGGAGAGGAAGGCGGAAUUCCUGGUGUAGCGGUGAAAUGCGUAGAUAUCAGGAGGAACACCGGUGGCGAAGGCGGCCUUCUGGACGGAUACUGACGCUGAGGCGCGAAAGCGUGGGGAUCAAACAGGAUUAGAUACCCUGGUAGUCCACGCUGUAAACGAUGGGAACUAGGUGUGGGGGGUAUUGACCCUCCCGUGCCGUCGCUAACGCAC